UUGCCAUGAUGGUUUGAACCAGCAC
This 25-nucleotide non-coding RNA is filed under the name Rattus norvegicus (Norway rat). Lineage: Eukaryota; Metazoa; Chordata; Mammalia; Rodentia; Muridae. The record is from RNAcentral.